CAUUCAACUGCAGGUCUUCAACUCGCUUAGCGAGAGACCUGCAACAGAACUCCUUGCUGUAAGGAAAAAAUAAAGAACAAGAAGAAGAAGAGAAGGAUCUAUGAUAACCGUGUAACGGUUGUCCAUUCAGAAAUAACAAUGUGCCCCGAUGGAAAUAAACAAAUUGAAUGGAAGGACGAUGAGCGCAAGGAAAUCAAUUUAAAAGCACUGGAUGAUCUUGUUAACGUGAACUCACUUUUCACAAUUGCUGUGUUUAUUGGCCUAUCCUUUACUGCAACUCCAAACCAUGUUAGCCUUGAACAGCGACCGGAAUGCAUGGCGGACAGAAGAAUGGGAAAGAGAGUGAUCGUUUUCGAAAUUAUUUCAUUUGGUCUUUUCCUCCUUUCAAGCCAGGUAGCCAAAUCACUCAAGAUUUAUAUCAACAUGUAUGGAAGUCAAAAAAGUGAUAAAUUAAGAGUGAAAUGGGUUCAGGGUCUAUUUUUUUUAUUAUCAGUUCUUGCAUCAAUAGCUGGGGUUGUUCUUUUGGCAUUUUCUCUGGCUUACGUGGUGGAGAUAAAGGUCGGAAAGAUGUCCUGUGGAACCGAAGCUCUCCAGGCAGUAGUGCCGUUAGUCGUAUUUGUGGGUUUUGCUAUGUUAAUUUAUUUAUUUUCAAUGUGUCAUGCUAUACGCCAUUGUAUGGUAUAGUGUUUUAAAAAUCUUUUGUAUUUAAAACCCUCUGAAUAAAUAAAUUCAAUUUUAUCUUA
This is a non-coding RNA of Jatropha curcas, 743 nucleotides long. The record is from RefSeq and is a predicted model, not a curated record. NCBI's taxonomy places the organism in Eukaryota, Viridiplantae, Streptophyta, Magnoliopsida, Malpighiales, Euphorbiaceae.